RNAcentral lists this ribosomal RNA (256 nucleotides) under uncultured bacterium. RNAcentral describes it as "partial 16S ribosomal RNA". It matches the Rfam family "Bacterial small subunit ribosomal RNA", at positions 524 to 776 of the family's 1533-position model. The record is from RNAcentral.
UACGUAGGGCGCAAGCGUUAUCCGGAAUUAUUGGGCGUAAAGAGCUCGUAGGCGGUUUGUCGCGUCUGCCGUGAAAGUCCGGGGCUCAACUCCGGAUCUGCGGUGGGUACGGGGCAGACUAGAGUGAUGUAGGGGAGACUGGAAUUCCUGGUGUAGCGGUGAAAUGCGCAGAUAUCAGGAGGAACACCGAUGGCGAAGGCAGGUCUCUGGGCAUUAACUGACGCUGAGGAGCGAAAAGCAUGGGGGAGCGAACAGG